UGGGGAAUAUUGGACAAUGGGCGAAAGCCUGAUCCAGCAACGCCGCGUGAGGGAUGACGGCCUUCGGGUUGUAACCUCUUUCAGCAGGGACGAAGCGCAAGUGACGGUACCUGCAGAAGAAGCACCGGCCAACUACGUGCCAGCAGCCGCGGUAAUACGUAGGGUGCGAGCGUUGUCCGGAAUUAUUGGGCGUAAAGGGCUCGUAGGCGGUCUGUCGCGUCGGGAGUGAAACACGGGGCUUAACCCCGUGCCUGCUUCCGAUACGGGCAGACUAGAGGUAUGCAGGGGAGAACGGAAUUCCUGGUGUAGCGGUGAAAUGCGCAGAUAUCAGGAGGAACACCGGUGGCGAAGGCGGUUCUCUGGGCAUUACCUGACGCUGAGGAGCGAAAGUGUGGGGAGCGAACAGGAUUAGAUACCCUGGUAGUCCACACCGUAAACGUUGGGCGCUAGGUGUGGGGACUCAUUCCACGAGUUCCGUGCCGCAGCUAACGCAUUAAGCG
RNAcentral lists this ribosomal RNA (500 nucleotides) under uncultured Actinomycetes bacterium. RNAcentral describes it as "bacterial SSU rRNA". It matches the Rfam family "Bacterial small subunit ribosomal RNA", at positions 355 to 866 of the family's 1533-position model. The record is from RNAcentral. Lineage: Bacteria; Bacillati; Actinomycetota; Actinomycetes.